This 119-nucleotide ribosomal RNA is filed under the name Pteropus alecto (black flying fox). The record is from RNAcentral. Lineage: Eukaryota; Metazoa; Chordata; Mammalia; Chiroptera; Pteropodidae.
GUCUAUGGCCAUGCUACCCUGAACAAGCCCGAUCCCAUCUGAUCUCAGAAGCUAAGCAGGGUCAGGCUUGGUUAGUACUUGGAUAGGAGACCACCUAGGAAGACCAGAUGCUGCAGGCA